This is a non-coding RNA of Pocillopora verrucosa, 1049 nucleotides long. NCBI's taxonomy places the organism in Eukaryota, Metazoa, Cnidaria, Anthozoa, Scleractinia, Pocilloporidae. The record is from RefSeq and is a predicted model, not a curated record.
AUUGUCCAGAGGUGAAUCGAGGGUGGACGCUGAGCGUGGACAAUGAACUCACUGCCUCUCUUGCUUCUGGUGGUCUUUGUAUUAGGCUACUCAGGCGUUAACAGUAGAUUACUGCGUUAUGGAGAACAAGUGUCAAACCACAAUGAAACAGCAUUUUUAGAACAGAUCUGCCCAAAGCCUAAUAGCAGGGAUCGAAAGUACGUUCGAAUCAAGACCUUCAAUGACAAGUACGUGUGGGCUUACCCCACACAUAAAGGUGAUACGUCAUACCUGCGUACGCGCUGUUGCGGUGCAAAAGAUGCCGUUGGACGAAAAGAUAUAACCAUACCUGGAACAAAAACAACAUUCAUUGUUCACUGCCUUAGAGCCAACAAUGAAAAUGUAUUCAGAUUUGAGAUUCUCUCCAGCUCCAAAAAUCCAUCUGGCUAUUACUUCGACGCAGAUCCAGUUUACUCUCAGUAUGGCGUGUACGCCAACAAGCUGACGAGAGUCAGUGCCAAAGACCGGUACAGAUUCAAUUUUAUCGUAUCUCGCAAGAGGGGCCCUGUGAUUGGCAUCCGAACUCAAGGAAAAGCAGGUGAAAGGUAUGAAAGUAUGAGGAGUAACUGGUUGAAGUUUCAUGAUGGCGGCCGUGGAAGUGUUACGGGAUAUAAGAACCUUUAUACUAGAAACUUCCCAAGCAUGGAGGACACAUUUACAUUAGAAGCAGUACCCAGCGGAUGCGUGACUCCUGGUGAGUAUGUAUUACAGAUGUCAGUUAUGGCCGCACCAUGGCAUACCAGUCAGGAGGACUGUGAGAGUAAACCAGAUAGAUGCUUUUGGUCGGAUGGGUGGGAUACACGAAGGCGCAAUAUGAUGACAGCCAUAUGCUACUACAGCAAAGGUAGGAAAAUUAUCAUCUAAGAGCCAUCUCUAUAAAGAAGAAAAAUUAGAUGGGCUUGAAACCUUCAUCUUUAAGACUUGAUUCGGUGUGUUAUCAGUACAGGGGAGCCAAGAUAAAGUACCUGCGCUUGUCAGCUAAACAAUGUGAAGCUGAAAACCACUGCUAC